CAUAUGUUUUCAUAUGUUUUAAAAAAUAUGUUUACAUAUGUUUGUAAACAUAUGAAAAACAUAUGAUUUUCAUAUGUUUUCAUAUGUUUUAAAGGACAUUUAAAAAAAAAUGUUUUGAGAAAAUGUCAAAAUUUGUCAUUUAAUUAUCACAUACGUUUUUUUCAUUCAUUAUCUAUAUAGUGUAUUUCUCAAACAGGAAAGUGCACUUUCUACUCUUCCCACUAAAUCCCACAUCAUCAUGAUGAUAUAAGCAUGUCAGCCCUCAGGCUAUGUGACCCCCACAGCAGAGCUAUCUAAUUCUGAAUGGAACAUAAUGUAAAAUAAAUGAAUGAGUUAUAAAUAUCAAAUAAUAAUAUGAAUAAAUAUUCUUUAUUUAGUUUGUUCUUUAUUCUCAAUUCUUUUUUUUUUAUCAAUAAUCCCAUUAUUCUCUAUGAUUCUUUAUUCCAUAUUUCUGCUUUUUUUAGUAUCUGUUCUUUAUUUUUUUUUUCCUUUAUUUUGCACUUUUUGUCAUUAUUUUCUAUAUUCUUAAACCCCAAUCUUGAUUCCAGACCAUCAUAUAUAUAUAUAUAUAUACGUAAAUGUACGAAAGCUUGCAUGGUGCGUCGAAUACGGAAACCCGGAAAUCUUUUCACCGUUACCAUUUUUUAUUUUAUGACGCAAAAUCCAUGGACGCUCACGCGAUCGCUGUUGUCAUUUAAAAAGUUUGAAUGGACAGAGAUAAGAUGAUACAAAGAACUUUGGUUUUUCAAAAUUGUGAAUCAAAAUUUAUUAUAAGCAGAUAAAUUGAAAUGGGUGACUUGUCGAUUAACUGGAAGAAACCGGGGAACGAAACAUAGAAAAUUUAUAGAAAGUCAACGCAACGCAACGAAACAGCGAAAGUGAUUUUGUUUUGAUGGAUAGUUUUACGUACCCUAAAAGCACAACGAAAGCAUUUUCAAUGAAAGUAGUAGAAGAAUCUAAGCAACAGAACAUAAUUCAUUUGAGGCAUUGGUUUCUAGAUUAUAUAAUGGAUUCAUAGAUUGUCAUAUUGAUUUAUGUGCAUAUAAGGAGCAGCAGGCAAUAAUUAUUUUGUGAUGAGAGCUUGUUACCACGGUUACCAAAUGAAAGGAAAGUACAGUAUUAAAAUCACUGGUGUACAUGUAGGUGCGGAUGUCAGGCAAAAAGAACUGGUAUCAAAGAACUGAAAAGUAAAGAAACAGAACCAAAGAACAUUAAUUUUUAAUUAAUACAAUAUUGAGCUCAAA
Molecule: long non-coding RNA, 1244 nt
Organism: Mytilus californianus (California mussel)
Lineage: Eukaryota; Metazoa; Mollusca; Bivalvia; Mytilida; Mytilidae
Exons: 4
Source: RefSeq, a predicted model, not a curated record